RNAcentral lists this long non-coding RNA (1921 nucleotides) under Marmota monax (woodchuck). The record is from RNAcentral. Lineage: Eukaryota; Metazoa; Chordata; Mammalia; Rodentia; Sciuridae.
UCUGGGAAGCCCAGCUCCUAAAUGUCUGCUCACAUUUAAUGUGAUUGUGGAGUUCAAUUCUUAGAUACCUAACUGCUCAUGAUGUAAUGAGGAUGCUGAGACCACAGGCAUGAGUUCUUUUCAGCAUCUGGACCCCACCCAAAGGAAUAGCCUAAGGCAACGGGACCUGAAUCUGGCUAUUGUGCCAGCUUCCAGAACCCUGCUGACAGGGUUCUCUCCUUCCACUGUCAGGAUAAGAAAUAACUGAGUUCUGUCUAGUACCUGUGGUUUGUUGUGACGUUACCACGUCUUCCUUCUUGCCGUCAGUGUGGUGGAACCUUGCCCUGUAUACGCUUGGCCUUCUGCCCAGGGGCCUUCACCUUCCUUCCCUAUUGAGUUUUAGGAAACAGGGGCAGCAUUAGAGUUUAUGUUUUACCAUGCUGUGUAUAUUUGCAUCUCGUUGAGUUUCUUUAAUUUGGAGGAAGAAAACUAAUCUGUUUCCAGUUCCACCUCCAGAACUAACAAAUUAGCUCUGAAUUAGACUAACACAAGUACAAGGUGACUAAGACAUAGUACCUACUCUGUCAGAGUGUCAGUCCACUGGGGAAGACAGACAAUAGGUUUCUAAUUAGGUUACAGGUUCAGCUGCAGAGACAGAGAAGUGAGUUAAAUAAGAAGUUUCUCAUAAAACAGUCCAUCCAUAAUCUGAGAACCGGCAAGGCUGCCCUAUUCCAUGAGGUUGCUAAGAGACAAGGCUUUUCCUAUCUUGUCACACCACCAUCCCUUGAUGGUUGUCAUUGUCUACAAAGUCUAAGGCAAUUGUCAUGUUCACGCUCCAAUCAAUAGAGUAGAAGAAAUGAAGAAGAAGGAACUCACCCUCUUCUUUUAAAGUCACAGUCUGGAAAUUGCUCUGCCUCAGAUCACACUGGUCAGAAUAUAGUCACAUGGUCACAACUGUCUGCAAAGGGAAAUAAAUCCUUUAUUCUAGGGACAGCCAUAUGCUGAGCUAAAAACUAGAAAUCCUAUCUUUGCACAAAAAGGAGAAAAUGGAUAUUGAAGGAAACUAGCAUCCUAAGCAUGGGAAGUGAUUCAUGUAGAACACAGGAUAUAGAGGUGAGAGGGCCCGAGGAAGCUUAAAAAAAUAAAAAAGAAGGAGAGGUUGGGAUUGUGGCUCAGUGGUACAGCGCUCACCUAGCAUGUGUGAGGCACUGGGUUUGAUUCUCAGUACUACAUAAAAAUAAUUAAAUAAAAUUAAGGUAUAAGGAAAUAAAAGGACAAAGAACAUGUCUCAGAGCUUAAGAUUUCUAAGAUAGAGCAUUUUCACAUGACAAGGUCCAGAUGUGGCAUAGAGUGAGUGACUAGAGUAGUAAACAUAAACUUACUAAACCUGGGACUGAAUCAAAGAUUUUCCAAGCUAGAAUGUUAAGUGAUUGUUUAAAUGGACCUUGAACUUCACUUUAAUAGUAUUAUGUAUUAGAAGGGACAGAAAACUUGUGUGGAAGGUGUCAAGUCGAUGAAGAUGACUUAGGAACAAAGCACCAAGCAGCCGGCACCCGCAAAAGAAACAUUCAUCAGGCACCAACAGAACCGCCUGUCAAUCAGCGGGGUCUCCUGGCCAAUCCUGGAUUUCAGCCAGUUCCCCCAACCAACUCCAGCAGGACAAGGGACUCUAAAACCCCUUUUCCUGUCCCAAGCCCUCCCUUCCUGCCCUAAGCCCCAUAAAGUUCCAGUCCGGUUGAGCCCCCACUUGGUUUCUCCUCAGACCCUCUUCCUAUCUGCUCUGUGGGUCUGAUAGAGUUCUGACCAGGAGUGGAAUCUCAAUAAAGCCUCCUUCAACAGCCUUUUUAAAUCUGCCUCCUUUUGGUUGCCGCUGUUGCCUGACCUUACAGAAGGCUGGGUGGUUGGCCAGACAUAAGCAAUAAAGGUAAGGGAAGAGUCAAAG